GUUGGGUAGGGGAGCGUUCUGUAAGCCUGUGAAGGUGGCCUGUGAGGGUUGCUGGAGGUAUCAGAAGUGCGAAUGCUGACAUAAGUAACGAUAAAGCGGGUGAAAAGCCCGCUCGCCGGAAGACCAAGGGUUCCUGUCCAACGUUAAUCGGGGCAGGGUGAGUCGACCCCUAAGGCGAGGCCGAAAGGCGUAGUCGAUGGGAAACGGGUUAAUAUUCCCGUACUUGGUGUUACUGCGAAGGGGGGACGGAGAAGGCUAUGUUGGCCGGGCGACGGUUGUCCCGGUUUAAGCGUGUAGGCUGGUUUUCCAGGCAAAUCCGGAAAAUCAAGGCUGAGGCGUGACGACGAGGCACUACGGUGCUGAAGCAACAAAUGCCCUGCUUCCAGGAAAAGCCUCUAAGCAUCAGGUAACACGAAAUCGUACCCCAAACCGACACAGGUGGUCAGGUAGAGAAUACCAAGGCGCUUGAGAGAACUCGGGUGAAGGAACUAGGCAAAAUGGUGCCGUAACUUCGGGAGAAGGCACGCUGACACGUAGGUGAAGUGAUUUACUCAUGGAGCUGAAG
RNAcentral lists this ribosomal RNA (565 nucleotides) under Salmonella enterica subsp. enterica serovar Bareilly str. 2780. Its description in RNAcentral is "bacterial LSU rRNA". It matches the Rfam family "Bacterial large subunit ribosomal RNA", at positions 1223 to 1782 of the family's 2925-position model. Lineage: Bacteria; Pseudomonadati; Pseudomonadota; Gammaproteobacteria; Enterobacterales; Enterobacteriaceae. The record is from RNAcentral.